Molecule: long non-coding RNA, 87 nt
Filed under: Anolis carolinensis (green anole)
Lineage: Eukaryota; Metazoa; Chordata; Lepidosauria; Squamata; Anolidae
Description: lncRNA (ENSACAG00000036568.1)
Source: RNAcentral
AAUAUACUGGGUUGGCAGGAACUAGAGCUAACAGUGGGAGCUCACCCCAUCUCGUGGAUUUGAACUACCAACCUUCAGGUCAGCAAU